Long non-coding RNA from Octopus sinensis (East Asian common octopus), 209 nucleotides. RefSeq lists it as uncharacterized. The transcript has 3 exons. NCBI's taxonomy places the organism in Eukaryota, Metazoa, Mollusca, Cephalopoda, Octopoda, Octopodidae. The record is from RefSeq and is a predicted model, not a curated record.
CUCUGUCGGUUGCGACGACGAGGGUCCCAGCCGAUACAAUCAAUAGAACGGCUUGCUCGUGAAAUUAACGUGCAAGUGGCUGAGCACUCCGCAGACACGUGUACCCUUAACGUGAUUCUCAGGGAUGUUCAGCGUGACAUAAAGUGUGACAAGGUCGACCCUUUGAAAUACAGGCAAAAGAGAGAGAGAGAAGAGAGAGAGAGAGAAAG